Molecule: small RNA, 178 nt
Filed under: Chrysemys picta bellii (western painted turtle)
Lineage: Eukaryota; Metazoa; Chordata; Testudines; Emydidae
Description: TUC338 (ENSCPBG00000026413.1)
Source: RNAcentral
AUCAAGGCCUUGGGGCUGAAGUUCUCUGUUGAUCCACAGAACAUGUACAGCAUGGCUGUGGCAGUGCAAGCUCCACCCACACUACCCCACUAUUGUACUUCCAUCUUAACAGAGAAGAGCCACCUCUAGAAGUGAAAGGACACUUCAGGCCCCAGUGUCCAUUCAAUCCUUGACCGCU